UGGUCAAGUUAUUAAGGGUGCAGGGCGGAUGCCUUGGCACUAGGAGCCGAUGAAGGACGUGAUAAGCUGCGAUAAGCUUCGGGGAGUUGCACGUAAACUUUGAUCCGAAGAUUUCCGAAUGAGGAAACUCACUUAGAGUAAUGUCUAAGUAUCAUUAAGUGAAUACAUAGCUUAAUGAGGGGAACUCAGGGAACUGAAACAUCUAAGUACCUGAAGGAAUAGAAAGAAAUUCGAUUCCGUAAGUAGCGGCGAGCGAACGCGGAUUAGCCCAAAC
This 274-nucleotide ribosomal RNA is filed under the name Clostridioides difficile. Its description in RNAcentral is "partial 23S ribosomal RNA". It matches the Rfam family "Bacterial large subunit ribosomal RNA", at positions 1 to 274 of the family's 2925-position model. Lineage: Bacteria; Bacillati; Bacillota; Clostridia; Peptostreptococcales; Peptostreptococcaceae. The record is from RNAcentral.